Molecule: ribosomal RNA, 441 nt
Filed under: uncultured bacterium
Lineage: Bacteria
Description: partial 16S ribosomal RNA
Rfam family: Bacterial small subunit ribosomal RNA
Source: RNAcentral
CCUACGGGUGGCAGCAGUGGGGAAUAUUGCACAAUGGGGGAAACCCUGAUGCAGCGACGCCGCGUGAGUGAAGAAGUAUUUCGGUAUGUAAAGCUCUAUCAGCGGGGAGGAAGGAAGACGGUACCUGACUAAGAAGCCCCGGCUAACUACGUGCCAGCAGCCGCGGUAAUACGUAGGGGGCAAGCGUUAUCCGGAUUUACUGGGUGUAAAGGGAGCGUAGACGGCUGUGCAAGUCUGAAGUGAAAGCCCCGGGCUCAACCUUGGGACUGCUUUGGAAACUGUGGAGCUAGAGUGUUGGAGAGGUAAGUGGAAUUCCUAGUGUAGCGGUGAAAUGCGUAGAUAUUAGGAGGAACACCAGUGGCGAAGGCGGCUCACUGGACAGUAACUGACGCUGAGGUUCGAAAGCGUGGGGAGCAAACAGGAUUAGAUACCCCUGUAGUC